Cyanistes caeruleus (blue tit) is the source of this 649-nucleotide non-coding RNA. Lineage: Eukaryota; Metazoa; Chordata; Aves; Passeriformes; Paridae. The record is from RefSeq and is a predicted model, not a curated record.
UCCAAGGAGUUCUAACUUUGACAGUUAAACACUCAUGGUGGCUGUUGCUUGGUUUCUGUUGGCAGCUGCUGUUAGGUUUAGAACUGGGAUGCUUCCAGACAGAGCUGGACAGGGCAGAGCCUGUCCCUCUCACACAGAAAAGGUAUCUAUACUCUGUUCAGGGCAGAACCUGCACAGCUGGAAAUACAAACUGUGUGUGAUCACCUCCCUUGGACGACCCUGGCAGAGGGACAGAAAUAAAGCCAGACUAUUCCAAGUCUGCAGCAAGAGGAGGCUGAGCUCUCCUCUCCCAGCCAGCAGCAGACAGAUUUCACUUAGACUUUCCAUGGCAACACCACUUUCCUGUCUUGUUACUGAGAACUGAGCUAAGGAUUGGACACCUGAGAUCUCUGCCAUUCCUACUUAUUCUCAUUCUCCAGGGGCCAGCAAACACCUCUGUGCUCAGAGCUGAGCUACAUUUACAGAGUGACCUUCCCAAGCCUUCUGCAACACCCAGCUUCUGCACUGUUUUCCCAGCCAGCGUGGUGGUGUGCAGCUCCCAGGAGAGCCAUUAGUCUGUCAGCUUUAUCCCAAGGACUCUGAUGAAUUGGAAAAAUAAUUCUAUGCAAGCCUGACAGUACUUACACAACCUUAUAAAAAUUCAAAUUAA